RNAcentral lists this ribosomal RNA (468 nucleotides) under uncultured bacterium. RNAcentral describes it as "partial 16S ribosomal RNA". It matches the Rfam family "Bacterial small subunit ribosomal RNA", at positions 28 to 507 of the family's 1533-position model. The record is from RNAcentral.
GACGAACGCUGGCGGCGUGCUUAACACAUGCAAGUCGAACGGAAAGGCCCUGCUUUUGUGGGGUGCUCGAGUGGCGAACGGGUGAGUAACACGUGAGUAACCUGCCCUUGACUUUGGGAUAACUUCAGGAAACUGGGGCUAAUACCGGAUAGGAGCUCCUGCUGCAUGGUGGGGGUUGGAAAGUUUCGGCGGUUGGGGAUGGACUCGCGGCUUAUCAGCUUGUUGGUGGGGUAGUGGCUUACCAAGGCUUUGACGGGUAGCCGGCCUGAGAGGGUGACCGGCCACAUUGGGACGGAGAUACGGCCCAGACUCCUACGGGAGGCAGCAGUGGGGAAUAUUGCACAAUGGGCGGAAGCCUGAUGCAGCAACGCCGCGUGCGGGAUGAGGGCCUUCGGGUUGGAAACCGCUUUCGCCUGUGACGAAGCGUGAGUGACGGUAAUGGGUAAAGAAGCACCGGCUAACUACGUG